Molecule: ribosomal RNA, 1432 nt
Filed under: Planktothrix mougeotii HAB3343
Lineage: Bacteria; Bacillati; Cyanobacteriota; Cyanophyceae; Oscillatoriales; Microcoleaceae
Also listed under: 1 other name
Description: 16S ribosomal RNA
Rfam family: Bacterial small subunit ribosomal RNA
Source: RNAcentral
GAUGAACGCUGGCGGUCUGCUUAACACAUGCAAGUCGAACGGAAGUAGCAAUACUUUAGUGGCGGACGGGUGAGUAACACGUAAGAACCUGCCUCUUGGCCGGGGACAACAGUUGGAAACGGCUGCUAAUCCCGGAUGAGCCGAAAGGUAAAAGAUUAAUCGCCAAGAGAGGGGCUUGCGUCUGAUUAGCUAGUUGGUAGUGUAAGAGACUACCAAGGCGACGAUCAGUAGCUGGUCUGAGAGGAUGAUCAGCCACACUGGGACUGAGACACGGCCCAGACUCCUACGGGAGGCAGCAGUGGGGAAUUUUCCGCAAUGGGCGAAAGCCUGACGGAGCAAGACCGCGUGGGGGAGGAAGGUUCUUGGAUUGUCAACCCCUUUUCUCAGGGAAGAAGAAAGUGACGGUACCUGAGGAAGAAGCAUCGGCUAACUCCGUGCCAGCAGCCGCGGUAAUACGGAGGAUGCAAGCGUUAUCCGGAAUGAUUGGGCGUAAAGAGUCCGUAGGUGGCCCUUCAAGUCUGCUGUUAAAGAGCGAGGCUUAACUUCGGAAAAGCAGUGGAAACUGGAGAGCUAGAGUGUAGUAGGGGCAGAGGGAAUUCCUGGUGUAGCGGUGAAAUGCGUAGAGAUCAGGAAGAACACCGGUGGCGAAAGCGCUCUGCUGGGCUACAACUGACACUGAGGGACGAAAGCUAGGGGAGCGAAUGGGAUUAGAUACCCCAGUAGUCCUAGCGGUAAACGAUGGAAACUAGGUGUGGCCUGUAUCGACCCGGGCCGUGCCGGAGCAAACGCGUUAAGUUUCCCGCCUGGGGAGUACGCACGCAAGUGUGAAACUCAAAGGAAUUGACGGGGGCCCGCACAAGCGGUGGAGUAUGUGGUUUAAUUCGAUGCAACGCGAAAAACCUUACCAGGACUUGACAUCUCUGGAAUCCGUCUGAAAGGGUGGAGUGCCUUAGGGAACCAGAAGACAGGUGCUGCAUGGCUGUCGUCAGCUCGUGUCGUGAGAUGUUGGGUUAAGUCCCGCAACGAGCGCAACCCUCGUCGUUAGUUGCCAUCAUUAAGUUGGGAACUCUAGCGAGACUGCCGGUGACAAACCGGAGGAAGGUGAGGAUGACGUCAAGUCAGCAUGGCCCUUACGUCCUGGGCGACACACGUACUACAAUGCUAAGGACAGAGAGCAGCCAACCCGCGAGGGAGAGCGAAUCUCAUAAACCUUGGCACAGUUCAGAUUGAAGCUUGCAACUCAGCUUCAUGAAGGAGGAAUCGCUAGUAAUCGCAGGUCAGCAUACUGCGGUGAAUCCGUUCCCGGGCCUUGUACACACCGCCCGUCACACCAUGGAAGUGAGCCACGCCCGAAGUCAUUACUCUAACCUGCAAGGGGGGAGGGUGCCGAAGGCAGGGCUGAUGACUGGGGUGAGUCGUAACAAGGUAGCCG